GAUGAAGAACGUAGCGAAAUGCGAUACUUGGUGUGAAUUGCAGAAUCCCGUGAACCAUCGAGUUUUUGAACGCAAGUUGCGCCUCAAGCCAUUAGGUUGAGGGCACGUCUGCCUGGGCGUCACAUAUCGUUGCCUGAUGCCAGUUUCCUCGUGAUGGGUGACUGUGCAGGGCGAAUGAUGGCUUCCCGUGAGCAUUGUUGCCUCAUGGUUGGUUGAAAAUUGAGUCCUUGGUAGGGAGCGCCGUGAUAGAUGGUGGUUGAGUGACGAACGAGACCCAAUCAUGUGAGACCCCUACCGAAUUUGGCCUUCAUGACCCACAUGCGUCUUUGGAACGCUCAUGACGAGACCUCAGGUCAGGCGGGGCUACCCGCUGAGUUUAAGCAUAUCAAUAAGCGGAGGA
RNAcentral lists this unclassified non-coding RNA (400 nucleotides) under soil metagenome. Its description in RNAcentral is "partial contains 5.8S ribosomal RNA, internal transcribed spacer 2, and large subunit ribosomal RNA". The stretch from base 1 to 122 matches the Rfam family "5.8S ribosomal RNA", at positions 35 to 154 of the family's 154-position model. The record is from RNAcentral.